UCAGGUAGGACUACCCGCUGAACUUAAGCAUAUCAAUAAGCGGAGGAAAAGAAACUAACAAGGAUUCCCCUAGUAACUGCGAGUGAAGAGGGAAAAGCUCAAAUUUAAAAUCUGGCGGCAUUUAGCCGUCCGAGUUGUAAUCUAGAGAAGUGUUACCCGCGCCGGACCGUGUAUAAGUCUCCUGGAAUGGAGCGUCAUAGAGGGUGAGAAUCCCGUCUUCGACACGGAUCCCCGGGGCUUUGUGGUGCGCUCUCAACGAGUCGAGUUGUUUGGGAAUGCAGCUCAAAAUGGGUGGUAAAUUCCAUCUAAAGCUAAAUAUUGGCGAGAGACCGAUAGCGAACAAGUACCGUGAGGGAAAGAUGAAAAGAACUUUGGAAAGAGAGUUAAACAGUACGUGAAAUUGCUGAAAGGGAAACGCUUGAAGUCAGUCGCGUCGUCUGGAAAUCAACCUUGCUCUUUUGCUGGGCGUACUUUCCAGUUGACGGGCCAGCAUCAGUUUUGACCGGUGGAAAAAGUCCAAGGGAAUGUGGCACCUUCGGGUGUGUUAUAGCCUUUGGUCGUAUACAUCGAUUGGGACUGAGGAACUCAGCACGCCGAAAGGCCGGGUCUUCGGACCACGUUCGUGCUUAGGAUGCUGGCAUAAUGGCUUUAAUCGACCCGUCUG
Molecule: ribosomal RNA, 664 nt
Filed under: Parasola conopilea
Lineage: Eukaryota; Fungi; Basidiomycota; Agaricomycetes; Agaricales; Psathyrellaceae
Description: partial large subunit ribosomal RNA
Rfam family: Eukaryotic large subunit ribosomal RNA
Source: RNAcentral